RNAcentral lists this ribosomal RNA (253 nucleotides) under uncultured bacterium. RNAcentral describes it as "partial 16S ribosomal RNA". It matches the Rfam family "Bacterial small subunit ribosomal RNA", at positions 524 to 776 of the family's 1533-position model. The record is from RNAcentral.
UACAGAGGGGGCAAGCGUUGUUCGGAAUUACUGGGCGUAAAGGGCGCGUAGGCGGCCUGCUAAGUCGAACGUGAAAUCCCCGGGCUCAACCCGGGAACUGCGUCCGAUACUGGCAGGCUUGAAUCCGGGAGAGGGAUGCGGAAUUCCAGGUGUAGCGGUGAAAUGCGUAGAUAUGCGGAGGAACACCGAUGGCGAAGGCAGUCCCCUGGGCCUGUACUGACGCUCAUGCACGAAAGCGUGGGGAGCAAACAGG